GACGAACGCUGGCGGCGUGCUUAACACAUGCAAGUCGAACGGAAAGGCCCUGCUUUUGUGGGGUGCUCGAGUGGCGAACGGGUGAGUAACAUGUGAGUAACCUGCCCUUGACUUUGGGAUAACUUCAGGAAACUGGGGCUAAUACCGGAUAGGAGCUCCUGCUGCAUGGUGGGGGUUGGAAAGUUUCGGCGGUUGGGGAUGGACUCGCGGCUUAUCAGCUUGUUGGUGGGGUAGUGGCUUACCAAGGCUUUGACGGGUAGCCGGCCUGAGAGGGUGACCGGCCACAUUGGGACUGAGAUACGGCCCAGACUCCUAUGGGAGGCAGCAGUGGGGAAUAUUGCACAAUGGGCGGAAGCCUGAUGCAGCAACGCCGCGUGCGGGAUGACGGCCUUCGGGUUGUAAACCGCUUUCGCCUGUGACGAAGCGUGAGUGACGGUAAUGGGUAAAGAAGCACCGGCUAACUACGUG
Molecule: ribosomal RNA, 468 nt
Filed under: uncultured bacterium
Lineage: Bacteria
Description: partial 16S ribosomal RNA
Rfam family: Bacterial small subunit ribosomal RNA
Source: RNAcentral